Molecule: ribosomal RNA, 1723 nt
Filed under: Streptococcus salivarius
Lineage: Bacteria; Bacillati; Bacillota; Bacilli; Lactobacillales; Streptococcaceae
Description: partial 23S ribosomal RNA
Rfam family: Bacterial large subunit ribosomal RNA
Source: RNAcentral
AGUUAAGAUACUAAGAGCAUAUGGUGGAUGCCUUGGCGAUAUCUGCUGAAGAAGGACGCGACAAGCUGCGAAAAGCCACGGAGAGGCGCAAAUAGCCUAUGACCCGUGGAUAUCCGAAUGGGGCAACCCGACGGUGGUCAUGCACCGUCAUCCAUACCGACCGGUAUAGGAGAGGCACUCGGUGAACUGAAACAUCUAAGUAGCCGGAGGAAAAGUAAUCAAACGAGAUACCCCAAGUAGCGGCGAGCGAACGGGGCAGAAGUCCAAACCGAAGAAGGAAACUUCAUUGGGGUAGAGGGCUGUCAAUAGAUAGUGAAGAAUUUAGCUGAAUAUGUUGGAAAACAAAGCCGAAGACGGUGAAAGCCCGGUAAGCGAAAAGUUCAACACUACAAGACAGUACCGGAGUACUGCGAGACCCGAGAAAUCUUGCAGGAAGCAGGGGGGACCACCCUCCAAGACAAAACACAGAUAUCGACCGAUAGCGUAUAGUACCAUGAGGGAAAGGUGAAAAGAACCCCGGGAGGGGAAUGAAAUAGAACCUGAAACCGUAUGUUUACAAGCAGUCGAAGACCGUUUAAUAAUAAGGUCGACGGCGUGCCUAUUGAAGAAUGAACCGGCGAGUUACGAGGUCUGGCGAGGUUAAGCAGGAAAUGCGGAGCCGAAGCGAAAGCGAGUCUUAAGAGGGCGACAGUCGGAUUGCGUAGACCCGAAACCACAGUGAUCUACCCAUGUCCAGGUUGAAGCACAGGUAAAAAUGUGUGGAGGACCGAACCUAUAUACGUUGAAAAGUGUUAGGAUGAGAUGUGGGUAGGGGUGAAAUUCCAAUCGAACGUGGAGAUAGCUGGUUCUCCCCGAAAUAGCUUUAGGGCUAGCCUCAGGGAAGAGAUUGCAGGCGGUAGAGCACUGAUCAGGAGAGGGGCCUAUCCGGCUACCAAACCCAGUCAAACUACGAAUGGCUGCAAUUAUACCUGGGAGUCAGACUACGACUUAUAAGGGCCGUGGUCAAGAGGGAAACAGCCCAGACCAUCAGCUAAGGUCCCCAAUGCCGUGCUAAGUGGCGAAGGAUGUGGCAUUUCAUAAACAACCAGGAUGUUGGCUUAGAAGCAGCCAUCAUUUAAAGAGUGCGUAAUAGCCCACUGGUCGAGAGACGCUGCGCCGAAGAUGUCCGGGGCUCAAGCACGGAACCGAAGCUAUGGCAUGAUAGCAAUAUCAUGGGUAGGGGAGCGUUCUCAUAAGGAAGAAGCAUAAUCGUAAGGAAAUGUGGACAUAUGAGAAGUGAGAAUGCCGGUAUGAGUAUCGAAAAGAAAGGUGAGAAUCCUUUCCACCGAAAGCCCAAGGAUUCCUGAGCAACGAUCGUCGACUCAGGGUAAGUCGGGACCUAAGCCGAGGCGAAAAGCAUAGGCGAUGGACAACAGGUUGAAAUUCCUGUACCGGAUAGACUCGAUUGAGCGAAGGAGUGACGCAGAAGGGUACACAAUCGUACGGAUGGAAGAGUACGUUCAAGUGAGUAGGUUGAUUAUGAGGCAAAUCCCAUAAACUAAAAGCUGAGACACGAAGAGGAAACAAAGGAAACUUUGUGGAACUUGUGAAUCCCACACUGCCAAGAAAAGCUUCUAGCGAGAGGAUAUCCGCCCGUACCGUAAACCGACACAGGUAGGCGGGGAGAGAAUCCUAAGGUGCGCGGGAAAACCCUCGUUAAGGAACUCGGCAAAUUGCAUCCGUA